RNAcentral lists this long non-coding RNA (210 nucleotides) under Lathyrus oleraceus (garden pea). Its description in RNAcentral is "Pisum sativum (pea) long non-coding RNA (PSAT_LNC005289)". Lineage: Eukaryota; Viridiplantae; Streptophyta; Magnoliopsida; Fabales; Fabaceae. The record is from RNAcentral.
UUAUUGUUAUUGUCAUUAUUAUAUUCAUUGUUAUUCACUUUUAUGUCAUUUACAUUGAAGUACUCAUUAUCAUUAUCAUUAUGCAAAUUCAUUAUACAUACUCUAUCAUUUGUCUUUACUUUAUUGUUACCAUUAUAUUUAAAAGCAACAAAAACAUGAUAGCAUUAUAAGACCAAAAAAAGUCCAUUUCACUUCCCCACUUGGACUUAG